GCGAGAGUGGCGGAAUUGGCAGACGCACCAGACUUAGGAUCUGGCGGAUUCGUCCGUGGGGGUUCGAGUCCCCCCUCUCGCA
This 82-nucleotide transfer RNA is filed under the name Binatia bacterium. RNAcentral describes it as "tRNA-Leu". It matches the Rfam family "tRNA". Rfam says of the family: Transfer RNA (tRNA) molecules are approximately 80 nucleotides in length. Their secondary structure includes four short double-helical elements and three loops (D, anti-codon, and T loops). The record is from RNAcentral. Lineage: Bacteria; Candidatus Binatota; Binatia (SeqCode).